This is a long non-coding RNA of Trematomus bernacchii (emerald rockcod), 340 nucleotides long. RefSeq lists it as uncharacterized. The record is from RefSeq and is a predicted model, not a curated record. Lineage: Eukaryota; Metazoa; Chordata; Actinopteri; Perciformes; Nototheniidae. The transcript has 2 exons.
UUGAGGAAAGGAGGACAGCAGUGGAGAGAGAAGAAAAGAGCGCAUGGAACUGCACUCUUGCACAUAGUUUUUGAUGAAAUUGACGAGUAGUAUAAAAGGAUCGAUCCUAUUGGCUCUAGUAUCGAGUUAGUGAGCAAGCAGGUUCCAGUGCCUGAUGAGCUGUGCCUGAUGAGCUGCACCUGCCGGAUGAGCUGCACCUGCUGGAAGCCUACAAGGGGAGCCAAGCCAGAUACGUCGCUCUCUCACUCCUCUGGGCACUCUCUCCGUGCCAGCCUCGGGGACCUGUUGCUGGUUUCAUGGAUUUAUUUGUUUAUUAAGAAUAAACUAUUGUGAUAUUCUU